This 497-nucleotide ribosomal RNA is filed under the name uncultured bacterium. RNAcentral's name for it is "partial 16S ribosomal RNA". It matches the Rfam family "Bacterial small subunit ribosomal RNA", at positions 28 to 507 of the family's 1533-position model. The record is from RNAcentral.
GAUGAACGCUGGCGGCGUGCCUAAUACAUGCAAGUCGAGCGAACAGACGAGGAGCUUGCUCCUCUGACGUUAGCGGCGGACGGGUGAGUAACACGUGGAUAACCUACCUAUAAGACUGGGAUAACUUCGGGAAACCGGAGCUAAUACCGGAUAAUAUAUUGAACCGCAUGGUUCAAUAGUGAAAGACGGUUUUGCUGUCACUUAUAGAUGGAUCCGCGCCGCAUUAGCUAGUUGGUAAGGUAACGGCUUAUCAAGGCAACGAUGCGUAGCCGACCUGAGAGGGUGAUCGGCCACACUAGAACUGAGACACGGUCCAGACUCCUACGAGAGGCAGCAGUAGGGAAUCUUCCGCAAUGGGCGAAAGCCUGACGGAGCAACGCCGCGUGAAUGAUGAAGGUCUUCGGAUCGUAAAACUCUGUUAUUAGGGAAGAACAAAUGUGUAAGUAACUAUGCACGUCUUGACGGUACCUAAUCAGAAAGCCACGGCUAACUACGUG